This 476-nucleotide ribosomal RNA is filed under the name uncultured archaeon. Its description in RNAcentral is "SSU rRNA". It matches the Rfam family "Archaeal small subunit ribosomal RNA", at positions 579 to 1053 of the family's 1478-position model. The record is from RNAcentral.
CGAUACUGCCGGGCUUGGGGGCGGGAGAGGCCGAGGGUACUCCCGGAGUAGGGGCGAAAUCCGUAGAUCCCCGGGAGGACCACCAGUGGCGAAGGCGCCCCGCUAGAACGCGCCCGACGGUGAGAGGCGAAAGCCGGGGCAGCAAAAGGGAUUAGAUACCCCUGUAGUCCCAGCUGUAAACGAUGCGGGCUAGCUGUUGGGCGGGCUUAGAGCCCGCCCAGAGGCGGAGGGAAGCCGUUAAGCCCGCCGCCUGGGGAGUACGGCCGCAAGGCUGAAACUUAAAGGAAUUGGCGGGGGGGCACCACAAGGGGUGAAGCUUGCGGCUUAAUUGGAGUCAACGCCGGAAACCUUACCCGGGGCGACAGCAGGAUGAUGGCCAGGCUAACGACCUUGCCGGACGAGCUGAGAGGAGGUGCAUGGCCGUCGUCAGCUCGUGCCGUGAGGUGUCCGGUUAAGUCCGGCAACGAGCGAGACCC